UCCGUAGGUGAACCUGCGGAAGGAUCAUUACCGAGUGCGGGCCCUCGUGGCCCAACCUCCCACCCUUGUCUCUAUACACCUGUUGCUUUGGCGGGCCCACCGGGGCCACCUGGUCGCCGGGGGACAUCUGUCCCCGGGCCCGCGCCCGCCGAAGCGCUCUGUGAACCCUGAUGAAGAUGGGCUGUCUGAGUACUAUGAAAAUUGUCAAAACUUUCAACAAUGGAUCUCUUGGUUCCGGCAUCGAUGAAGAACGCAGCGAAAUGCGAUAAGUAAUGUGAAUUGCAGAAUUCCGUGAAUCAUCGAAUCUUUGAACGCACAUUGCGCCCCCUGGCAUUCCGGGGGGCAUGCCUGUCCGAGCGUCAUUUCUGCCCUCAAGCACGGCUUGUGUGUUGGGUGCGGUCCCCCCGGGGACCUGCCCGAAAGGCAGCGGCGACGUCCGUCUGGUCCUCGAGCGUAUGGGGCUUUGUCACUCGCUCGGGAAGGACUGGCGGGGGUUGGUCACCACCAAAAUUUUACCACGGUUGACCUCGGAUCAGGUAGGAGUUACCCGCUGAACUUAAGCAUAUCAAUAAGCGGAGGAA
RNAcentral lists this ribosomal RNA (581 nucleotides) under Penicillium sp. M-01. RNAcentral describes it as "eukaryotic LSU rRNA". The stretch from base 209 to 362 matches the Rfam family "5.8S ribosomal RNA". RNAcentral also lists the same sequence under 2 other names. Lineage: Eukaryota; Fungi; Ascomycota; Eurotiomycetes; Eurotiales; Aspergillaceae. The record is from RNAcentral.